AGAGUUUGACCUGGCUCAGGAUGAACGCUGGCUGUGUGCCUAAUACAUGCAUGUCNGAACGAAGCACUUGUGCUUAGUGGCGAAUGGGUGAGUAACACGUACUUAAUCUACCUCUAGGUUUGGGACAACAUUUGGAAACGAAUGCUAAUACCGAAUAUUCCUUUUCCUCGCAUGGGGGAUUGGUAAAAGGCCCGUUUGGGUCGCCAAGAGAUGAGAGUGCGGUACAUUAGUUAGUUGGUAGGGUAAUGGCCUACCAAGACGAUGAUGUAUAGCGGGGUUGAGAAGCUGAACCGCCACACUGGGACUGAGAUACGGCCCAGACUCCUACGGGAGGCAGCAGUAGGGAAUAUUCCACAAUGAGCGAAAGCUUGAUGGAGCGACACAGCGUGCAGGAUGAAGGUCUUCGGAUUGUAAACUGCUGUAUAAGGGAAGAAAAACCGGUGUAGGAAAUGACAUCGGCUUGACGG
Molecule: ribosomal RNA, 467 nt
Filed under: uncultured Mycoplasma sp.
Lineage: Bacteria; Bacillati; Mycoplasmatota; Mollicutes; Mycoplasmatales; Mycoplasmataceae
Description: bacterial SSU rRNA
Rfam family: Bacterial small subunit ribosomal RNA
Source: RNAcentral